Molecule: ribosomal RNA, 253 nt
Filed under: uncultured bacterium
Lineage: Bacteria
Description: partial 16S ribosomal RNA
Rfam family: Bacterial small subunit ribosomal RNA
Source: RNAcentral
GACAGAGGAUGCAAGCGUUAUCCGGAAUGAUUGGGCGUAAAGCGUCUGUAGGUGGCUUUUUAAGUCCGCCGUCAAAUCCCAGGGCUCAACCCUGGACAGGCGGUGGAAACUACCAAGCUGGAGUACGGUAGGGGCAGAGGGAAUUUCCGGUGGAGCGGUGAAAUGCGUAGAGAUUGGAAAGAACACCAAUGGCGAAAGCACUUUACUGGGCUAUUACUGACACUGAGAGACGAAAGCUAGGGUAGCAAAUGGG